Molecule: long non-coding RNA, 1046 nt
Organism: Manis javanica (Malayan pangolin)
Lineage: Eukaryota; Metazoa; Chordata; Mammalia; Pholidota; Manidae
Source: RefSeq, a predicted model, not a curated record
CUCAUCAUCCGAUGCCCGAAAGCAUUGUCACAGCCGUGUCCGUGCUCCUCCGAGCAGGGGGCCGCUGCAGUCUGAACGUCGGGGCCGCCUGGAUUACGCCUUCUCACCCAACAGGCCACACAAGUUCUUCGGCUGGGGGAGGACGCGGCGGAAGAUCCUGGAGACGGUGUUCCUCACCUCAUCUCAACGGAGGUUAAACACUCGCCGGCGAGCACCCUGCUUCUGGCCCCGGUGCUCCUGCAUCUUGGCAUCACUUCUGCGACCCUGAAAGAAAAAGUAAGGGAGGGUAAAGGAAGGAGCAGGGAAACGGCCUCAGCGUAAAGGCACUGAAAUGUGAUUCCUCGUGGAACACGGCCGUGGUUCUCCACUCAGGUUUGUAGAUGUACAUCUCUGCAGGAGCUGUCUUAUUGCUCAGAAACUACCCCGGGUGAUUGAACAACUGUGUAUGCCAAUGAGAUCGUGCAUGUGGAUGAGAGAAGGCAACCUGUUGCCUGGAACAUCAGUUUCCCAAACUAUAGUCACUGAUGAAUCACCCUCAUAUUUUUUUUUCAUAUUUGUGAUGGAACAUAGUUGCAUUAUGGAAUUAAUGGAAUUUUGGGGGUAUCUUUGGCCUAUUUGUGGGCCAGCUGUUCAUUAUUUAAUAUUUUUCCUUAAAAUGGCUCUACUUAAAUAAAUGUGUUACAAAAGGAAACUUCCCAUCCACAAAAUGAAUGGAAACCUAGUAUCAUGUGUCAUAAAGAGGGUAACUACAAUGAUAAAUAAAAUUAAUGCAAAGGAAAUCUUAUUAAAUUCUGGUUGGAGACAAGCACCAUGAGAAACACUGAGUCUCUGACCUGUUCUUCAUGACAAAUGGAGAUUAGUAAAUUUAUGGUUACAUUUACAAGCCUUUAAUGAUUUCACUUGGAAUGAAAAAAGGCCGAAAAUAAAUAUCCAUUUCAAGAACUUAGAAAAAAAGUAAUGGGGAUAAAUCAGAUAUGAAAUCAAGAUGAGAGCAGAAUUAAGUGGAAAACAAAGAUACAAUGGAAAAUACCAGCAAAACCAAAAGA